GAUGAACGCUGGCGGCGUGCUUAACACAUGCAAGUCGAACGGAAAGGCCCAAGCUUGCUUGGGUACUCGAGUGGCGAACGGGUGAGUAACACGUGGGUGAUCUGCCCUGCACUUCGGGAUAAGCCUGGGAAACUGGGUCUAAUACUGGAUAGGACCACUUCUUGGAUGGCGUGGUGGAAAGUUUUUUCGGUGUGGGAUGAGCUCGCGGCCUAUCAGCUUGUUGGUGGGGUAAUGGCCUACCAAGGCGUCGACGGGUAGCCGGCCUGAGAGGGUGUACGGCCACAUUGGGACUGAGAUACGGCCCAGGCUCCUACGGGAGGCAGCAGUGGGGAAUAUUGCACAAUGGGCGCAAGCCUGAUGCAGCGACGCCGCGUGGGGGAUGACGGCCUUCGGGUUGUAAACUCCUUUCGCUAGGGACGAAGCGUUUUUGUGACGGUACCUGGAGAAGAAGCACCGGCUAACUACGUG
This 468-nucleotide ribosomal RNA is filed under the name uncultured bacterium. Its description in RNAcentral is "partial 16S ribosomal RNA". It matches the Rfam family "Bacterial small subunit ribosomal RNA", at positions 28 to 507 of the family's 1533-position model. The record is from RNAcentral.